UGCGAAGGAUUCGAGCGUUAUCCGGAUUUAUUGGGUUUAAAGGGUGCGUAGGUGGACUAAUAAGUCAGUGGUGAAAGCCCGGAGCUCAACUCCGGAACUGCCAUUGAUACUGUUAGUCUUGAGUACAGUUGAGGUGUGCGGAAUGUGUCAUGUAGCGGUGAAAUGCUUAGAUAUGACACAGAACACCGAUUGCGAAGGCAGCUCACUAAGCUGUAACUGACACUGAGGCACGAAAGCGUGGGGAGCAAACAGG
This 253-nucleotide ribosomal RNA is filed under the name uncultured bacterium. RNAcentral describes it as "partial 16S ribosomal RNA". It matches the Rfam family "Bacterial small subunit ribosomal RNA", at positions 524 to 776 of the family's 1533-position model. The record is from RNAcentral.